Molecule: ribosomal RNA, 563 nt
Filed under: Tremula longifila
Lineage: Eukaryota; Cercozoa; Skiomonadea; Tremulida
Description: eukaryotic LSU rRNA
Rfam family: Eukaryotic large subunit ribosomal RNA (bases 444-563)
Source: RNAcentral
GCCGAAUUCCGUGAAUCAUCGAAUCUUUGAACGCAAAUUGCGCUUCCGGGUAGCCCUGGGAGCAUGCCUCUUUGAGUAUCGGUUACACCCAAUCUUCUAACCUUCUUAACGGAGGGCGACGAAGGUGCAUAAGCAAACUUGAGUGCUUCGGCUAGCGCAAAGCUUGUCGUCACUUUAAAUGAAUUGAAUCCUGCGUGUGGUUAGCGAAUCUAGUUUGAUUCUCCACCGUUGCCUUGCUGGCUGGUAGCUCUCGUAGUUAUCGGCUGGGCUGGCCUGUUGGCGGAUAGGGGCUUCUGCUCUAUCAAUAUCUACUGACAUGUGCUGGUGCGACUGUGGGUGGCUUACUUAAACCUUGUCUGAUCAUACAAUCCAAGCAGGCAGCCAAAGCUGAUUGUUGCUGUCCUCGAAGGCAGCGGCCGGCAAGUGGCGAUCUAUCAUUCAUCUGAUCUCAAAUGAGGUAAGAGGACCCCCUGAACUUAAGCAUAUUACUAAGGGGAGGAAAAGAAACUAACAAGGAUUCCCUCAGUAACGGCGAGUGAAGCGGGAAGAGCUCAACUUGAAAA